UGAUCACAUCUCAUUUAGAGGAGAAUCUGGU
RNAcentral lists this non-coding RNA (31 nucleotides) under Mus musculus (house mouse). The record is from RNAcentral. Lineage: Eukaryota; Metazoa; Chordata; Mammalia; Rodentia; Muridae.